This is a non-coding RNA of Nelumbo nucifera (sacred lotus), 73 nucleotides long. The record is from Rfam. Lineage: Eukaryota; Viridiplantae; Streptophyta; Magnoliopsida; Proteales; Nelumbonaceae.
GGGGAUGUAGCUCAAAUGGUAGAACGCUUGCUUUGCAUGCGAGAAGUAUGGGGUUCGAUACCCCGCAUCUCCA